UCCUUAGCUUGCUAGGAGGCGUCGAGCGGCGGACGGGUGAGUAAUGCAUAGGAAUCUGCCCGGUAGUGGGGGAUAACUUGAGGAAACUCAAGCUAAUACCGCAUACGCCCUACGGGGGAAAGCAGGGGCUCUUCGGACCUUGCGCUAUCGGAUGAGCUUAUGUCGGAUUAGCUGGUUGGUGAGGUAACGGCUCACCAAGGCGACGAUCCGUAGCUGGUCUGAGAGGAUGAUCAGCCACAUCGGGACUGAGACACGGCCCGAACUCCUACGGGAGGCAGCAGUGGGGAAUAUUGGACAAUGGGGGCAACCCUGAUCCAGCCAUGCCGCGUGUGUGAAGAAGGCCCUCGGGUUGUAAAGCACUUUCAGCGAGGAAGAAUGCUUGUCGGUUAAUACCCGGCAAGGGAGACAUCACUCGCAGAAGAAGCACCGGCUAACUCCGUGCCAGCAGCCGCGGUAAUACGGAGGGUGCGAGCGUUAAUCGGAAUUACUGGGCGUAAAGCGUGCGUAGGCGGCUUGAUAAGCCGGUUGUGAAAGCCCCGGGCUCAACCUGGGAACGGCAUCCGGAACUGUUAGGCUAGAGUGCAGGAGAGGAAGGUAGAAUUCCCGGUGUAGCGGUGAAAUGCGUAGAGAUCGGGAGGAAUACCAGUGGCGAAGGCGGCCUUCUGGACUGACACUGACGCUGAGGUACGAAAGCGUGGGUAGCAAAACAGGAUUUAGAUACCCUGGUAGUCCACGCCGUAAACGAUGUCGACUAGCCCGUUGGGGUCUCUUCGAGACCUUUGUGGCGCAGUUAACGCACUAAGUUCGACCGNCCUGGGGAGUACUGCCGCAAGGUUAAAACUUCAAAUGAAUUGACGGGGGCCCGCACAA
Molecule: ribosomal RNA, 870 nt
Filed under: Halomonas elongata
Lineage: Bacteria; Pseudomonadati; Pseudomonadota; Gammaproteobacteria; Oceanospirillales; Halomonadaceae
Description: bacterial SSU rRNA
Rfam family: Bacterial small subunit ribosomal RNA
Source: RNAcentral